Molecule: unclassified non-coding RNA, 240 nt
Filed under: soil metagenome
Description: partial contains 5.8S ribosomal RNA, internal transcribed spacer 2, and large subunit ribosomal RNA
Source: RNAcentral
AACACUGUUAACCUGCGGUACCUGCGGAAGGAUCAUCAUAGUAUAUGGAAUCUCCAUUCUAUAAACCCACUCUGCGUAUCUUGUAACUGUUGCUUCCAUGGGACUUGGUUCCGCCACACCGGCUUCACGGCUGGUGAGCGCCCAUGGAAGGAGAAACAAAACUCUUCUUUGAAAUGUAGUCAGUCUGAACAAGUUUUUAUAAACGUUAAAACUUUUAGCAACGGAUCUCAGAUCGGAAGA